This 407-nucleotide ribosomal RNA is filed under the name uncultured bacterium. RNAcentral's name for it is "partial 16S ribosomal RNA". It matches the Rfam family "Bacterial small subunit ribosomal RNA", at positions 30 to 526 of the family's 1533-position model. The record is from RNAcentral.
AUUGAACGCUGGCGGCAGGCCUAACACAUGCAAGUCGAGCGGAGCGGCGGACGGGUGAGUAAUGCCUAGGAAUCUGCCUGGUCGUGGGGGAUAACGUCAGGAAACGGGCGCUAAUACCGCAUAAUAUCAGAUGAGCCUAGGGUGGAUUAGCUAGUUGGUGGGGUAAAGGCCUACCAAGGCGACGGUCCGUAACUGGUCUGAGAGGAUGAUCAGUCACACUGGAACUGAGACACGGUCCAGAGUCCUACGGGAGGACGCAGUGGGGAAUAUUGGACAAUGGGCGAAAGCCUGAUCCAGCCAUGGCGCGUGUGUGAAGGAGGUCUUCGGAUUGUAAAGCACUUUAAGUUGGGAGGCGGUACCAACAGAAUAAGGACCGGCUAACUUCGUGCCAGCAGCCGCGGUAAUUC